GCUGUUCUUGUAAUUUGAAGAAACCUAUGAAAGGGAGAAAAGAGCGAUUGGGUAUCUACAUAAGCAGCUUUCUUACUCUUGGUACCUCAUCUUCACUGGAAAUUUGUUCGUGUUGUUGAAAAGAAACAGCAUAAAAACGAGCUCAACGGUAGUGUUGUUUGGCAUGGCACAAGAGUGCCGACAUUAAAUGAAUAACUAAAACAAAAAAUACAAAACCUGUUUAAUAUUAAAGAAUUGUUCACUUGAAUGCACUUUGGGUUGGUGUGCGUAGUAUGUUUCUUUCCUUACAUUUUUCUCAGUACUGACCCCAAAAUCCACUGCUUUAGUGGAUUAAUAGUUAAACAGUCCAACUUGAGACUUCAUUACUCAGUUGUUAUUCAGCUGAAGCAUAGCAUACUUCCUUAUCUUGGAAACAAGAAAACCCUAUGUUUCUUGAAAACCAUAGAAACCUUCUUAGCAAUGAACAACUUUUAUCUCCCUUCCUUGUGAGUGGCAGAUGUUUGGGCUAUGUCUCUCCUUAGUUAAACUGUUCACAUUUCUUAUUGUAAACAGUUGGUUCUUUAAGAUCUACACUCUUGACUAUAAAGGAAUUGCUUACCUUACUUUACUUCUCCUCUGCUGUUUUUCUUCCUCUCAAUUUCACCUUAGAGAUGAUGAUUUAACACAGAAUUCUAGUGUAAUUCUUACGCUGGUAGUUGUGUAUUGAGGUGGAGUUAAUGUAGCCCUUCAUUACAAAAUUGACUGGUAACUACAAAGGGAUGUCAUAUUAAUGAAUGCUUCAUAUUCUGAAAGUGAUAAGCUGUUGAGUGAUCAAGAAGUAACUAAUUAUCAGUCUACUACUUGAGAUAUGUUUUUGUCCUGCAAUUCCAGUAUUUCCUCUUAUUCCAGCUGACUUUGAAGUUUUCAGCAUCAAAACAAAGUUUAAAAGGUUAGGGGAAAAAAUGUGUUUUAGAAGUAGAAAUGCUCUUCUGUGUACACCACUUCAGAAGAUAUACUACCAUCUACAGAACAUGCCAAAUAACCUCGUUAGACAUUGCUGCUGACAUUCUUCAGAUUUUCAAGAAUCCAUGUCUGUUACAAUUUCAGAGCAAGCUACGUCUUUGACCUAUAAGUUAGUCUCUCAGAAGACUGCAUUUUCAACUGACAAAACCAAGUCUUUACUGCUUUCAGAGCGGAACCGUGUGAUUCUCUCACUGCUUAACUGCAAACCUCGUCCCAGCACUCUGCCCAGCAGUCAGGCCUUCUGCAGAAAAAAAAAUUGCCUGUUACUAAGUUCUUCGGUUUUUUGCUGUUUUUUCCCCAGCCACCUUCUUGGGUCCUCAGACCAGUGUAAAAGUGUAGUGAUAGAGAUUUCUCUAAAGUGUUUAUCUUUUCCAUAUGACAUGUUUUAAAAAAAAGAGGGGGUGGCAAAAAGACAAUAAUUAUGUUUUCCAUAUUUUUCUGCCCAAAUUUUAGGUUUCUUGGUAAGUUUAGAUAACUCUCUUUGUUCCCAGCCCAGGUUAGAUGAACUGAACCAUUGUCUGAACUGCUCAAUCUUGAAUCCCAUAGGUGAUAAUUGUUUUUUUUUUUUUUCUUUCAAAUUCCCUCUGUUGCUCCUACAACACCUUAACUUAGUUGUAACUAAUAUAUACAUUUCCUAAGUGGAUUUGUGAUAUAUUUAUUUUAUUGCCCUCGGAUUUUAGAUAACACUAAUAAAUUAAUUCGGAAACUUUCUAUGUUCUGUAUAUAGCUCUUACCUGUACAAUUUAUUCUUUACUGGAAAAAAGCCAUUUAGCUUCUUCACAAAAGAGUUUAGCUUUAAUUCUGUAUAUUAUUCGGGCACACUGAAAGGAUAAGAAAGAACAUGACUUUUAAUUCUAAAGUUGAAUAAAUAAUUUGACUACUUAAAAAAAAAAAAAGGUUAAACUGAAAUAUUAUUGGGAAUUUCUUCCAAAACGAAGCUGCUGUUAUGUAUUGAUUAGUAACUGAAUUUCUAUUCAGGUUCAUAUUCAGCAGAUGAAAGUGUAUGUAAGCAUGUUUAAUUAACUGGUUUAUCAAAUACAGUUAUUUUUCUGAUAAUUUACUUUUUGAAGUAAGUUCACAUGGUUUUAAAAUCAUAGAAGGUGAGGCCAUUUAGUAAAGCAAGCAAUAAAAUACAUUCCAACUUCA
Molecule: long non-coding RNA, 2148 nt
Organism: Harpia harpyja (harpy eagle)
Lineage: Eukaryota; Metazoa; Chordata; Aves; Accipitriformes; Accipitridae
Exons: 2
Source: RefSeq, a predicted model, not a curated record